UACGUAGGGUGCGAGCGUUGUCCGGAAUUAUUGGGCGUAAAGAGCUCGUAGGCGGUGUGUCGCGUCGGUCGUGAAAACUUGGGGCUUAACUCUGAGCUUGCGGUCGAUACGGGCAUCACUGGAGUUCGGCAGGGGAGACUGGAAUUCCUGGUGUAGCGGUGAAAUGCGCAGAUAUCAGGAGGAACACCGGUGGGCGAAGGCGG
This 203-nucleotide ribosomal RNA is filed under the name uncultured bacterium. RNAcentral's name for it is "partial 16S ribosomal RNA". It matches the Rfam family "Bacterial small subunit ribosomal RNA", at positions 524 to 724 of the family's 1533-position model. The record is from RNAcentral.